This 250-nucleotide ribosomal RNA is filed under the name uncultured prokaryote. RNAcentral's name for it is "partial 16S ribosomal RNA". It matches the Rfam family "Bacterial small subunit ribosomal RNA", at positions 524 to 774 of the family's 1533-position model. The record is from RNAcentral.
UACAGAGGUCCCUGGCGUUGUUCGGAUUUACUGGGCGUAAAGGGCGCGUAGGCGGCAAGGCGUGUUAAGUGUGAAAUAUCCGGGCCCAACCCGGAAAGUGCGCUUGAAACUACCUUGCUGGAGUGCGGGAGGGGGGUCGGAAUGCAGGGUGUAGCGGUGAAAUGCGUUGAUAUCCUGCAGAACACCGGAGGCGAAGGCGGACUCCUGGGACGCAACUGACGCUGAGGCGCGAAAGUCGGGGGAGCAAACA